AGUGAACGCUGGCGGCGUGCUUAACACAUGCAAGUCGAACGAGAACGGAUUAUAGCUUGCUAUAAUUGUCAGCUAAGUGGCGCACGGGUGAGUAAUGUAUAGGUAAUAUGCCUCUUACUAAGGGAUAACAAUUGGAAACGAUUGCUAAUACCUUAUAUUCCUUUUUAUCAAAAGAUAAAAAGGGAAAGAUUUAUUGGUAAGAGAUUAGCCUGUAUUGUAUCAGUUAGUUGGUGGGGUAAUGGCCUACCAAGACGAUGACGCAUAACUGGUUUGAGAGGAUGAUCAGUCACACUGGAACUGAGACACGGUCCAGACUCCUACGGGAGGCAGCAGUGGGGAAUAUUGCACAAUGGACGAAAGUCUGAUGCAGCAACGCCGCGUGGAGGAUGACACAUUUCGGUGCGUAAACUCCUUUUAUAUGAGAAGAUAAUGACGGUAUUAUAUGAAUAAGCACCGGCUAACUCUGUGCCAGCAGCCGCAGUAA
This 484-nucleotide ribosomal RNA is filed under the name uncultured bacterium. Its description in RNAcentral is "partial 16S ribosomal RNA". It matches the Rfam family "Bacterial small subunit ribosomal RNA", at positions 29 to 523 of the family's 1533-position model. The record is from RNAcentral.